GGCGGCGUGGAUAAGACAUGCAAGUCGAACGAGAACUUCAGCUGUAGCAAUACAGUUGAAGUUUUAGUGGCGAACGGGUGCGUAACACGUGGACAAUCUGCCUUAAAGUGGGGGAUAGCUCGGCGAAAGCCGAAUUAAUACCGCAUGUGAUCAGGGGAGACAUCUUCCCAACAUCAAAGCCGGGGCAACCUGGCGCUUUUAGAGGAGUCCGCGGCCUAUCAGCUAGUUGGUGAGGUAACGGCUCACCAAGGCUUUGACGGGUAGCUGGUCUGAGAGGACGACCAGUCACACUGGAACUGAGACACGGUCCAGACACCUACGGGUGGCAGCAGUCGAGAAUUUUUCUCAAUGGGGGAAACCCUGAAGGAGCGACGCCGCGUGGAGGAUGAAGGUCUUCGGGUUGUAAACUCCUGUCAUUUGGGAACAAGUCGUACGUAGUAACUAUACGUACGUUGAUAGUACCAGAAGAGGAAGAGACGGCUAACUCUGUGCCAGCAGCCGCGGUAAUACAGAGGUCUCAAGCGUUGUUCGGAUUCAUUGGGCGUAAAGGGUGCGU
This 556-nucleotide ribosomal RNA is filed under the name uncultured Verrucomicrobiota bacterium. RNAcentral's name for it is "bacterial SSU rRNA". It matches the Rfam family "Bacterial small subunit ribosomal RNA", at positions 38 to 572 of the family's 1533-position model. Lineage: Bacteria; Pseudomonadati; Verrucomicrobiota. The record is from RNAcentral.